Molecule: ribosomal RNA, 546 nt
Filed under: Triticum aestivum (bread wheat)
Lineage: Eukaryota; Viridiplantae; Streptophyta; Magnoliopsida; Poales; Poaceae
Description: partial small subunit ribosomal RNA
Source: RNAcentral
AUGGUCGUGGGAAUGGAUUGGCUGGAGCAAUGUGGGCCAAUGUUAGUGGAUUGGGCAGCCAAAACACUCCAGUUUGACCACGAAGGACGUCAAGUGGUGCUGCAAGGAUUACAAGCAAAAACGUCUCAAGUGCAACAGGUAGACAUGGCGCAGCUGUUAGCCUUGGAGAGCAACAACUCCAUUGCACAUAUUGUGGUGUUGUACUCAGCUGAGCAAAGUGAAGGAGAAGACCCAAUACCAGCAGAACUACAGCAAAUUGUAGAUGCCUUCCCUGAAGUGUUUGCUGAACCAACUGAACUUCCAGAGCACAGAAGUUGGGACCACUCCAUUCCGUUGAUACCUGGGGCCAACCCCAUCAACAUCCGACCGUAUCGGUAUACACCAGAACAAAAGGAUGAGAUAGAAGCCCAAGUGAAGGAAAUGCUAAGAUUGAGGCUAAUUGUACCAAGUAACAGUCCGUUCUCAUCCCCGGUGCUCUUGGUCAAGAAAAAAGACCAAACAUGGCGAUUUGCAUUGACUUCAGGCACCUCAAUGCUAUCACGCUGA